CUGGCCUGCUCCCAAAUGAACUCAAUUGUAAAAUUCCCUCAUGCUGAAUUUGGACUUUUUUCAUGGAUGAAAACUUCACGUGGAGGAGGAAACCUUCAGUGCUGGGCAGAAGGAAGCCUGUGGGGAGAGGCAGAACCAGCUUUGCAUGGGAACAACUCAUCCAAGGAGAGGAUCCAAAGGAGCAGGGAAUGCUGGUUUUAAUCUGCUUCCAUGGGCUGAAAUGACUCCUGUGUUCAAGCUGGCAUUACCGACAGGGAUACAACUGCAGUUUGGGUAUCAGCUCUCUGGGACCUGCAACCUGCCUGGCAAGGAAACAUCAUCAGCCCUCUUAUCUGCUCCUUGCCUGAAUUCUGCCUGGAUUUCUGACUGGUGAGGCUUAUUGGAAGCAGCAUCCCUGUGAGCAGGAGAGCAGCUGCUCU
This 419-nucleotide long non-coding RNA is filed under the name Serinus canaria (Common canary). RNAcentral describes it as "lncRNA (ENSSCAG00000008007.1)". Lineage: Eukaryota; Metazoa; Chordata; Aves; Passeriformes; Fringillidae. The record is from RNAcentral.